RNAcentral lists this ribosomal RNA (274 nucleotides) under uncultured bacterium. Its description in RNAcentral is "partial 16S ribosomal RNA". It matches the Rfam family "Bacterial small subunit ribosomal RNA", at positions 523 to 796 of the family's 1533-position model. The record is from RNAcentral.
AUACGAAAGGUGCAAGCGUUGUUCGGAUUUACUGGGCGUAAAGAGAGUGUAGGUUGUUUAUUAAGUCGGAUGUGAAAUCCCGGGGCUCAACCUCGGACCUGCAUUCGAUACUGAUAGGCUAGAGUUUGGGAGGGGUAAGCGGAAUUCCGUGUGUAGCAGUGAAAUGCGUAGAUAUACGGAGGAACACCUGAGGCGAAGGCGGCUUACUGGACCAAUACUGACACUGAGACUCGAAAGCGUGGGUAGCAAACAGGAUUAGAAACCCCAGUAGUCC